GACGUCAAAUCAUCCAUGCCCCUUAUGACCUGGGCUACACACGUGCUACAAUGGGCGGUACAAAGGGUCGCGAACCCGCGAGGGGGAGCCAAUCCCAAAAAAGCCGCUCUCAGUUCGGAUUGCAGGCUGCAACUCGCCUGCAUGAAGCCGGAAUCGCUAGUAAUCGCGGAUCAGCAUGCCGCGGUGAAUACGUUCCCGGGCCUU
This 204-nucleotide ribosomal RNA is filed under the name uncultured Paenibacillus sp. Its description in RNAcentral is "partial 16S ribosomal RNA". It matches the Rfam family "Bacterial small subunit ribosomal RNA", at positions 1181 to 1382 of the family's 1533-position model. Lineage: Bacteria; Bacillati; Bacillota; Bacilli; Caryophanales; Paenibacillaceae. The record is from RNAcentral.